Molecule: ribosomal RNA, 255 nt
Filed under: uncultured bacterium
Lineage: Bacteria
Description: partial 16S ribosomal RNA
Rfam family: Bacterial small subunit ribosomal RNA
Source: RNAcentral
UACGAAGGGGGCUAGCGUUGCUCGGAAUCACUGGGCGUAAAGGGUGCGUAGGCGGGUCUUUUAAGUCAGGGGUGAAAUCCUGGAGCUCAACUCCAGAACUGCCUUUGAUACUGAGGAUCUUGAGUUCGGGAGAGGUGAGUGGAACUGUGAGUGUAGAGGUGAAAUUCGUAGAUAUUUCGCAAGAACACCAGUGGCGAAGGCGGCUCACUGGCCCGAUACUGACGCUGAGGCACGAAAGCGUGGGGAGCAAACAGG